Molecule: long non-coding RNA, 1882 nt
Organism: Herpailurus yagouaroundi (jaguarundi)
Lineage: Eukaryota; Metazoa; Chordata; Mammalia; Carnivora; Felidae
Exons: 2
Source: RefSeq, a predicted model, not a curated record
CCCCAACCCCCCUCCCUCGAGAGGCCAGGGGCUUCUUCCUCAAGGAGCAGGAACCGGCCACCGGGGCUGCCACCGCCUCCCUGGUGGCGGAAGCCAGAGAUCUGGGAUUCCACUGAGGCCUCAAAAGGAUUUGUCAGAUGAGAAAGAUCCAAAUAAAACCAGAGGAAACUCCUCUUUGCAGCCGGAAGCUGGUCGGUCUUCCUUACCAGUCCCAUCCUCCAAGGCCUUGUUAAACCACCGCAGCGAAGCUCUUUUUUCCAAAUCUAGAUCUUCGGCAGUGAUGGAGUAGCCAAGCUGGGGAGGUGGGGGCUGCCAGAGAGAAAGACGAGAGGCCCAUCAGGGAAGCUGGAAGAAACCUGUAUGGAGCUACCCUAGAACUUGGGGAUGCCGAGCUGGGGUGGGCGGGUGUGGACAGACAAAGCCAUACCAGGGUCAGCCGAGCCCCUCGCCGGGAGGGUAGAAGCUGAAUCUUUCGCUUCCGCUGCCCAGAGCUGCCAGGUGUGGGAGGGGAGCUCCACGAGUUCUGCGCCUUCCAUGUGGUUGUAUCUGCAGCUAAAGAAACAACAUGGACUUGUUUUCUUCCUCCUCUUCCAGAAAUGGCCAAGUUUGUCUAUCCACUUGGUUUUUAACACUGAAUUCUCACUGGUUAUGUCUGAAAGAUUUGGUCUUCCGUGGAUGGGGUCUUGGAGAGUUUGCAGGACGGUUUCUGCCAGGAGGGUAUCAAGAUAACUGCUCCAAACACAGGCAUACAAGUGCUUACUGACAGUAGUCACCCAGGCUGCUCAGAGGCCCCCACCAGCGCUCAUCGCCAGCCCACAGAUCCACUGGCCGGGGCCGUAGCUGCCUGUGCCACAGACCACAGACCUCUGCACCUACCAGGUCCUGCACACAGCGAUGCUCAGCGCAUGCUUCCGGAUGAGCAGGGGUCUCACAUGCUCCAUAAACACUCCCACCACCAGAAGCCACUCCUGCGCGCUUCACAACCUACCCUUUUCUCCCUGGGCCUCCUUGUCUGUUGCCAAAGGAGUUGAAGAACUGGAGCGGUGAGAAAGCUCGUCCUCUCUGAGGGCAGAAGAGGCAGAGGCGCAUUUAGAAAGACUUCCUGAUACAGAGUAUCGGGUAACUACUUACAGCCUCGUAACUACCAACCCUGCCAAAGUCUAGAACAACUGUGAUUUAAGAUCACAGGCCAGGACAAAAAAUAAGAGAAAUCAAAAGGAAAUUCCUACAAAACGAAGGGAGAAGUUCAUGGAAGCCACGGAGAAACCUCUGUCUCACAACAAGCACGGAACGAGAACCUUCACAACCUUACUUACACCUCGCCCAGUUCCUGAGAGCUGUAGCCACAGAGCUGACCCCUAAGAGCAGCAGUCUAGUCGCCUGUUGGUGCCUGGAGAUCAGCUGGGGUCCAGAACAUGAACUCUCCUGCCCCUGCCAUGAUUCUCUGUGCCCCCUCUACCCUGUGGCCUUUGCGUUCACACCCCAGUCGCCUGUGCUGCAGGAUGAGGAAGAGAGCCAGAGCCUCCAGGGUCAGCACAGAAGACAUUUAAGAGGCGAGAGCAGUUUGGGCAGGUACUUCACUGUCCUUCUGGAUGGCAAUCUUGGAUCCUCCGGAUCGGAGCCGCAGGAGGCCUAACAGCCAAGUACGUGUGCUUCCUUUCCUGCCCUCUCAUUAGUCUGCAGUGCAAACAAGGACCCGUUACCUUAUUUUCUUUGCUGGCCUCUCUGGUGUCUGCGAGCGGGAUGAGGCUGGGCUGGAAAACGGUGACAAGCUGGGCCCGCUUCUCUUCCAAAGCUAAAAGGCAAAAAGCAGUGACAUGAUUACCCUACUGGACAGCGUGACAUCCACCUUCAAUACAACUUUGUAUUCUGUUCAUCGCCA